AGAGUUUGAUCUUGGCUCAGAUUGAACGCUGGCGGCAUGCUUUACACAUGCAAGUCGAACGGCAGCACCGGGGAGCCUUCGGCCUUGGUGGCGAGUGGCGGACGGGUGAGUAAUGCAUCGGAACGUGCCCAAUAGUGGGGGAUAACUAGUCGAAAGAUUAGCUAAUACCGCAUAAGGCCUGAGGGGGAAAGUGGGGGAUCUUCGGACCUCACGUUAUUGGAGCGGCCGACGUCCGAUUAGCUAGUUGGUAGGGUAAAGCCUUACCAAGGCGACGAUCAGUAGCUGGUCUGAGAGGAUGAUCAGCCACACUGGGACUGAGACACGGCCCAGACUCCUACGGGAGGCAGCAGUGGGGAAUUUUGGACAAUGGGCGCAAGCCUGAUCCAGCAAUGCCGCGUGAGUGAAGAAGGCCUUCGGGUUGUAAAGCUCUUUCAGAAGGAAAGAAAACUUAUCCACUAAUACUGGAUGAGGAUGACGGUACCUUGAGAAGAAGCACCGGCUAACUACGUGCCAGCAGCCGCGGUAAUACGUAGGGUGCGAGCGUUAUUCGGAAUUACUGGGCGUAAAGCGCGCGUAGGCGGUUUUUUAAGUCAGAUGUGAAAGCCCCGGGCUCAACCUGGGAACUGCGUUUGAAACUGGAGGGUUAGAGUAUGGGAG
Molecule: ribosomal RNA, 657 nt
Filed under: uncultured bacterium
Lineage: Bacteria
Description: bacterial SSU rRNA
Rfam family: Bacterial small subunit ribosomal RNA
Source: RNAcentral